GUAUCCUAGAUUAUUCUAAACUUGGGUAUGCAUGCAUGAUUGCAGGGAACAGUGAAUAGAAAUGCAAAUAUAACUAUGGGAGUAGAAAUGUAGGAUGUUGUCAUGUUGAUGUGUUGUCUAAGCCCUAUUGAUUUUUGUAAUUGCAAUGUUGGUAGUUUGUUAAUACUUUAAGGAAAUUGAACAUAUAGGAAAAUUGAAAAUUUCCCAAAAAUAAAUAAAAAUAAACAAAAGUAAAAUAAACAAAAAAAAAAAAAGUAAAGGACCCAUUUUGAACCCAUGAACUUGUUGUACGAGGAAGUAUUAAUGCAGUUUUGUUAUGCAUUUGCAAAUACAUAACAAAUAUAAAAAUAUUAAAAAGUACGUGAAAGAGAGAGAAAGGAGCACUACUACAACUGUUGCAAAAUCCAACGGUCAAAACAACAACGUUUCAACAAGGAAUCGUUGUAUUAAAUAGUUUUAAAAUUAUACUGUAAUAUAUGACAACUCUCCUUCUUAAACCAUUGUUAUAAGUAGAUAUCUUUAAUAACGGAUUAUGAAUAAGACAACGUUUUAUAUUUAACCGGUGUUAAAAGGAAUAAAAUUUUAAUAAUGGCCCAUUGGUAAGUGUUGUUAAAGGGCCUUAGUAGCUUGACUAGCUUCUAGUAAAAUUUCAAUAAACUUUUUUCACUAUGAUUAAAAAAAAAAAAAAAAAAAAAAAAAAAAAAGGGUCUCCAAUAAAACCAAUCACAAUAGAAUUUGGCGGGCUCUCUACUUCUUUGCUUCCACUCUCCUUGUUUCUAUCACGAUCAUAUAUAGAAGAAAAGAAGAAAAAAAAAUCAAAAAAUCAAAUCUCACUUUUCUCUUUCCUCGUUCUGGUUUGCAAGACGUCUUUCUGGAGGUUGAGAUUACGAUUUGUGGAAUACAUAUCAGAAAAUUUAUCUGCGGACUUCGUAUUUUUCAGAUUUUUUGUAGCCCAACUACAACACGGAAGAAAUUGAUGAAGUCAAAACUGAGUUGGCACGCCACUUUCUCACUUUGCUAGUUGAUUUAGGAAGUUACAACCAAUUGGUAGACAAAUCAAUAUGUAUAUAAUGUUUCUUAGAUAUCGUUAAAGUGAAGAUUAUGGCUGGUUUUACAAUAUGCGUACGUAGUUUCUGUUUUUCUAUUGUAAUUUGCAAUGGAAAUCGUGAAAUUUAUUGGUUUUUAUUUUAUAUAUAUAUAAAAAUAUCCAUUUGGUUGCGUAA
Chenopodium quinoa (quinoa) is the source of this 1223-nucleotide long non-coding RNA. RefSeq lists it as uncharacterized. NCBI's taxonomy places the organism in Eukaryota, Viridiplantae, Streptophyta, Magnoliopsida, Caryophyllales, Amaranthaceae. The record is from RefSeq and is a predicted model, not a curated record. The transcript is spliced from 3 exons.